UGCUUAGGCAGAGAUGAGGUAUGGACGGUCCACAGUGGGCUCCUGGCUCCCUCUGUGACCUGGGAAGCAAAACUGUCCCGUCAGACUGCAGCCAUAGGCGGAGGUGAAUCGUCAGGCUGGGGUAAGCCGUUCUUUAUGGCUAGGAGCUAUGACCUGUACAGCCUGAUUCAGUUCCUCAUCACCUGAGGCUGUUACCUAACGGAGAUGUGGUAUCAUUUUAUCAUUGAAAUUAGAAAGAAGCCAAAAGACUACACUAUUAUCAGCUAUCAAACCAAGGGGCUGGCAUGGACAAGGAACUUAUCCACAGUCAAGCUGACACCCAGCCUCCAUGGGAUUCACUUAAAAUUGCAGGAAAUGUUUAUCAUGGAAGAAACGAUGGAAGAACUAUGGGAGCCUGAAGAUAGGGGAGAGUGUUUUGAGACUUUGUCUUCUAUGAAGAGGCCUUGAUCUCAUCUACAAAGGUGAAGAAAUAUUCCCAAGAUCACAAGCUUAAUGGGUCAUCAGUUCAGAGCUAACAUGUAUUUUAUAUAA
Molecule: long non-coding RNA, 531 nt
Organism: Mus musculus (house mouse)
Lineage: Eukaryota; Metazoa; Chordata; Mammalia; Rodentia; Muridae
Product: predicted gene, 46329
Exons: 5
Source: RefSeq, a predicted model, not a curated record